GACGAACGCUGGCGGCGUGCUUAACACAUGCAAGUCGAACGGAAAGGCCCUGCUUUUGUGGGGUGCUCGAGUGGCGAACGGGUGAGUAACACGUGAGUAACCUGCCCUUGACUUUGGGAUAACUUCAGGAAACUGGGGCUAAUACCGGAUAGGAGCUCCUGCUGCAUGGUGGGGGUUGGAAAGUUUCGGCGGUUGGGGCUGGACUCGCGGCUUAUCAGCUUGUUGGUGGGGUAGUGGCUUACAAAGGCGUUGACGGGUAGCCGGCCUGCGAGGGUGACCGGCCACAUUGGGACUGGGAUACGGCCCAGACUCCUACGGGAGGCAGCAGUGGGGAAUAUUGCACAAUGGGCGGAAGCCUGAUGCAGCAACGCCGCGUGCGGGAUGACGGCCUUCGGGUUGUAAACCGCUUUCGCCUGUGACGAAGCGUGAGUGACGGUAAUGGGUAAAGAAGCACCGGCUAACUACGUG
Molecule: ribosomal RNA, 468 nt
Filed under: uncultured bacterium
Lineage: Bacteria
Description: partial 16S ribosomal RNA
Rfam family: Bacterial small subunit ribosomal RNA
Source: RNAcentral